AGUAGCAUAUUACUCCUUCAGGUAACAUUUAUAAAAUAUAUAUUAUAUGUGAAUUCCUUUGGGAUGCAGAGGAACAGGUGUUUCUCUCCUUUUUCCUCUGCUGCUGAAGGUAGUGGAGGGAAACAAAAUUAUUAGACACUUGCUUUGGGAUUUGGGCGUUCGUGACAGCCCUCUCACAGGCCUAGUGAACCAUGCAAUCAGGCUGCCAGUUAACUUGUCGCUAUGUAAAUGAAAACUGAAUUUUUUCAGAGAAGCGAACUCUACAAAGUGGGUAAGUUGGUCUUCAAUGAAUAUGAUUCAAAGUUCUCGUUAAAUGGGAAGCUCAAAAAAUUUUGGAUUGCAUUAUAAAACAGAGCCAAUGAGAAAGCCUCGUAUCUUUUAGGAAAGAGUAAAUUUAGUUGUUUAAUUAUAAAUGCUGAUGACUGAGGGGAAAAAUAGGUUGCUUUUGCCUGGAAACAAAUGCCGAAUCUUAGUGAACUAAUUUAAAAAUUGCCAAUACAAGAAAAAUAAGAACGAAGGUAAUGUUUACCAAUAUUCAAUUUGUUUCUCUCCAUUUCUGUCUCCUUACAGUUAGACUGAGCCAUUUGACUAGUUUUGCCUGAAAAACUGUGUGCAGAAAUGACUUAUUACUACUUCCAGUCUAAGGCAAUAAAAAGCCAGUGGUCGUUUCUCUAAUUUCUCUUUCUUCCUCUCUUAUGACUGAAGAAGACUCUGCUACAAGAUGGUGAAACUUCUGUCCACCAGGCUUCCUGAGCAACUAUGGAGCAGCGUGUCAGUGGACCAAUGUCAACCAUGUUGCAUGAAUGAUACAUCAACUUGUUUUUUGAGCUUCUAGAUGGGAUCGUUUUUUACCCCAGCACAAUUUAGCUAAUCCUGACUAAACUAAGGAGUAAGCAACUAAAUAUCUUAGAGAGAGCCAAACUCUAAAAUUAAAAAUGAAACCGAGACAAAAACCUCACAGUCUCAGAUUCUCAAUAGCUCUCUAAGCAGGAAUUUGCUUUAAUUAGCUAAGGUUCUUGCUGAAAUGUUCUCUCUAGCCUCAAAACCAGCUCUGUUUUGUCUAACUGCCUACAUGUUUCUCAAUUCUGUAGCUCCGAGUUACUUGUUGGUCAACCAAGUCUACAGGUUUAUUGAGAGAUGAUUACAAUAUAACGUUGUAUAAAUGUAAGGUGAAAACCCAUUUUGGAAUGGAAGAAGCAAUAUGGUGGUUCCAAGAGGCAAGAUUUAUCAAUAUUAAAUUCAUGCUGUGCAAUCAAUAGGAAGGAGGAAGAACAUGAAAAGUUACAAUAUGAGAAAAACACUGACACCAUGCUGGUGAGGACGCAGUUCAGUGGAAAAUAUUUCUUUGUUCUACUCUCUAUGCAGAUUUUGCUCUUAAAAAAAACACAUGUUAAAAUUU
This is a long non-coding RNA of Felis catus (domestic cat), 1399 nucleotides long. RefSeq lists it as uncharacterized. The transcript has 2 exons. Lineage: Eukaryota; Metazoa; Chordata; Mammalia; Carnivora; Felidae. The record is from RefSeq and is a predicted model, not a curated record.